RNAcentral lists this ribosomal RNA (497 nucleotides) under uncultured bacterium. RNAcentral describes it as "partial 16S ribosomal RNA". It matches the Rfam family "Bacterial small subunit ribosomal RNA", at positions 28 to 507 of the family's 1533-position model. The record is from RNAcentral.
GAUGAACGCUGGCGGCGUGCCUAAUACAUGCAAGUCGAGCGAACGGACGAGAAGCUUGCUUCUCUGAUGUUAGCGGCGGACGGGUGAGUAACACGUGGAUAACCUACCUAUAAGACUGGGAUAACUUCGGGAAACCGUAGCUAAUACCGGAUAAUAUUUUGAACCGCAUGGUUCAAAAGUGAAAGACGGUCUUGCUGUCACUUAUGGAUGGAUCCGCGCUGCAUUAGCUAGUUGGUAAGGUAACGGCUUACCAAGGCAACGACGCAUAGCCGACCUGAGAGGGUGAUCGGCCACACUGGAACUGAGACACGGUCCAGACUCCUACGGGAGGCAGCAGUAGGGAAUCUUCCGCAAUGGGCGAAAGCCUGACGGAGCAACGCCGCGUGAGUGAUGAAGGUCUUCGGAUCGUAAAACUCUGUUAUUAGGGAAGAACAUAUGUGUAAGUAACUGUGCACAUCUUGACGGUACCUAAUCAGAAAGCCACGGCUAACUACGUG